This 461-nucleotide ribosomal RNA is filed under the name uncultured Streptococcus sp. RNAcentral describes it as "bacterial SSU rRNA". It matches the Rfam family "Bacterial small subunit ribosomal RNA", at positions 919 to 1382 of the family's 1533-position model. Lineage: Bacteria; Bacillati; Bacillota; Bacilli; Lactobacillales; Streptococcaceae. The record is from RNAcentral.
ACCCGCACAAGCGGUGGAUGAUGUGGGUUAAUUCGAUGCAACGCGAAGAACCUUACCAGGUCUUGACAUCCCGAUGCUAUUUCUAGAGAUAGAAAGUUACUUCGGUACAUCGGUGACAGGUGGUGCAUGGUUGUCGUCAGCUCGUGUCGUGAGAUGUUGGGUUAAGUCCCGCAACGAGCGCAACCCCUAUUGUUAGUUGCCAUCAUUCAGUUGGGCACUCUAGCGAGACUGCCGGUAAUAAACCGGAGGAAGGUGGGAUGACGUCAAAUCAUCAUGCCCCUUAUGACCUGGGCUACACACGUGCUACAAUGGUUGGUACAACGAGUUGCGAGUCGGUGACGGCGAGCUAAUCUCUUAAAGCCAAUCUCAGUUCGGAUUGUAGGCUGCAACUCGCCUACAUGAAGUCGGAAUCGCUAGUAAUCGCGGAUCAGCACGCCGCGGUGAAUACGUUCCCGGGCCUU